UAUAUCACCUGUGUAAGUGGACCGUUUUAAUACCUGCCCAAACGAGUGCAGACCAGAAACCCGCCUCUGAGCGACUGAACCAGCCUGCCAUUGGAAACUCAGCGCUCGUUGACAUCUCUGCAGCACAGACUGCUGCUGCCAUGGAUGAUUGACUCAUUGCCCCAGUGAAUCACCCUGCACCGGUCUGCUCUGGUUUGCCCUUGUCGUCCACCGUAGUCGUGAAGCCUGUAGAAGACCCCAUCCACAAGUUCUGAUCUGAGACAUCAUACCCAGGGGUUCCAGGUUAUUUGUGACAGAGCUUUAGACCAUGUGCGGGAGGAACCAGAAAUGGAGACAGGAGGAAAGGUUGCUGUUCUCCCCAGUGACUGCAGCCUUAAUUGGGAUGACGGUAAGGGUGUCGGCCCCUGUGUGUUGGAUGGAGAGCUUCAGGCUUGAGUGAACAGAUGUCUCUGGGAAGGAAAGGUGACAGACGUUUCUGCAGUUACUCAUCCCUAAAUAGGCCUGGGAGGACUCGAGUCUGAAUGAAAGAUGACCCAGGUGUGCAACAGGAAGAGAUGGAGAUGAGGAUAAAAAGAGAAUAUGUUUCAGAGGCAGUCACGGUGUAGGUGUAUCCAUAACCCGAGUGCUCUCCGGAGACAUGACGAAAUCGUGGAACCUUUGGUGUAACAACUGGCACGUACUCACAAACAUGCAAAGGACCGAAUCCGUCAAGGUCUAUUGCUUCUUUUGAAAGUCCAGUUUUAUAAUGGAAUCUGCUGAUAUGUGACAUGAACGCAGGGAUGUGGAUGAAUGAACAGAGAUAAACAGGUGUCCAAAUGUCUCAAAGUGGCCUAAAAAAACUCCUGAUGACCUUGGGAAGAUAAUACAGGAACGGAACCAUUCAAGUCGGCAUCAAACAGAAGUUGUGAUCGUCUUUUCUUCCCGUAUAGCUGAGUAAAACGGGUGUUACUUGAUUUUGUUCAUUGGGGAUUGAUUGAAUGGUUGUGGUGUCCUAUGUCACGUCAUGUGAGUGACAGGUUUUCCCGUCCUCGCGCGAGUCAAGAGAUGUCGUUGCUAGAGGGAUUCAAAGUUAUUUUGAUUAAAGAUUAUAAGGGCACGUGAAUUAAAAUAAAUGAUGUGCACGGAUAAAUCAUUUGUAAUAAAUACUGCAAUAUUCCAUAAAAAAAUAAGAAUGGUCACUUUUGAUUUCAUGGGCUCUUAAAG
This is a long non-coding RNA of Megalobrama amblycephala (Wuchang bream), 1203 nucleotides long. RefSeq lists it as uncharacterized. NCBI's taxonomy places the organism in Eukaryota, Metazoa, Chordata, Actinopteri, Cypriniformes, Xenocyprididae. The transcript has 7 exons. The record is from RefSeq and is a predicted model, not a curated record.